GGCCUGGUUGGGUGGUCUUGCCGCAAGGUAAGCACUGCUCCGAUCGGGUCUUUCCUUCUGGGGAACCAGCGUGCUCUUAAUUGGGUGCGUUGGGGAUCCAGGACUUUUACUUUGAAAAAAUUAGAGUGUUCAAAGCAGGCACACGCUUGUAUAGAUUAGCAUGGAAUAAUGGAAUAGGAC
This 180-nucleotide ribosomal RNA is filed under the name uncultured Glomeromycotina. Its description in RNAcentral is "partial small subunit ribosomal RNA". The stretch from base 90 to 180 matches the Rfam family "Eukaryotic small subunit ribosomal RNA", at positions 735 to 828 of the family's 1831-position model. Lineage: Eukaryota; Fungi; Glomeromycota. The record is from RNAcentral.